Molecule: ribosomal RNA, 521 nt
Filed under: uncultured bacterium
Lineage: Bacteria
Description: bacterial SSU rRNA
Rfam family: Bacterial small subunit ribosomal RNA
Source: RNAcentral
AGAGUUUGAUCCUGGCUUAGGACGAACGCUAGCUACAGGCUUAACACAUGCAAGUCGAGGGGCAGCAUUGAGAUAGCUUGCUAUUCAGAUGGCGACCGGCGCACGGGUGAGUAACGCGUAUCCAACCUUCCCCUUAGUAGGGGAUAGCCCGGUGAAAAUCGGAUUAAUACCCUAUGUUGUUCGAAGCAGACAUCUAAGUUGAACCAAAGGUUUACCGCUAAGGGAUGGGGAUGCGUCUGAUUAGGUAGUAGGCGGGGUAACGGCCCACCUAGCCGACGAUCAGUAGGGGUUCUGAGAGGAAGGUCCCCCACAUUGGAACUGAGACACGGUCCAAACUCCUACGGGAGGCAGCAGUGAGGAAUAUUGGUCAAUGGGCGCGAGCCUGAACCAGCCAAGUAGCGUGCAAGGAUGACUGCCCUAUGGGUUGUAAACUGCUUUUAUGCGGGAAUAAAGUCAGGUACGCGUACCUGUUUGUAUGUACCGCAUGAAUAAGGACCGGCUAAUUCCGUGCCAGCCGCGGC